This 96-nucleotide non-coding RNA is filed under the name unclassified sequences. RNAcentral describes it as "wcaG RNA". It matches the Rfam family "wcaG RNA". The record is from RNAcentral.
UAAGGUUUCUUGCUUCCUUAAAGAGCAAGUGGUGCGGAUGGGGUUACCCCGCCUGGUUUCCAAUUUCCAGUUAAAGAAUUGGUGGCGAGCCUGAAU